AGAGUUUGAUCCUGGCUCAGGAUGAACGCUGGCGGCGUGCUUAACACAUGCAAGUCGAACGAACCUUCGGGUUAGUGGCGGACGGGUGAGUAACGCGUGGGAAUCUGCCCUCAGGAGGGGGAUAACGGCUGGAAACGGCCGCUAAUACCCCAUAUGCCGAGAGGUGAAAUGAAUUUCGCCUGAGGAUGAGCCCGCGUCUGAUUAGCUAGUUGGUGAGGUAAUGGCUCACCAAGGCUUCGAUCAGUAGCUGGUCUGAGAGGAUGAUCAGCCACACUGGGACUGAGACACGGCCCAGACUCCUACGGGAGGCAGCAGUGGGGAAUUUUCCGCAAUGGGCGAAAGCCUGACGGAGCAACGCCGCGUGAGGGAUGAAGGCCUCUGGGCUGUAAACCUCUUUUCUCAAGGAAGAAGAUCUGACGGUACUUGAGGAAUAAGCCACGGCUAAUUCCGUGCCAGCAGCCGCGGUAAUACGGGAGUGGCAAGCGUUAUCCGGAAUUAUUGGGCGUAAAGCGUCCGCAGGCGGCCUUUCAAGUCUGCUGUUAAAGCGUGGAGCUUAACUCCAUCAAGGCAGUGGAAACUGUUGGGCUUGAGUGUGGUAGGGGCAGAGGGAAUUCCCGGUGUAGCGGUGAAAUGCGUAGAUAUCGGGAAGAACACCAGUGGCGAAGGCGCUCUGCUGGGCCAUAACUGACGCUCAUGGACGAAAGCCAGGGGAGCGAAAGGGAUUAGAUACCCCUGUAGUCCUGGCCGUAAACGAUGAACACUAGGUGUCGGGGGAAUCGACCCCUUCGGUGUCGUAGCCAACGCGUUAAGUGUUCCGCCUGGGGAGUACGCACGCAAGUGUGAAACUCAAAGGAAUUGACGGGGGCCCGCACAAGCGGUGGAGUAUGUGGUUUAAUUCGAUGCAACGCGAAGAACCUUACCAGGGUUUGACAUCCUGCGAACCUCUAAGAAAUUGGAGGGUGCCUUCGGGAACGCAGUGACAGGUGGUGCAUGGCUGUCGUCAGCUCGUGUCGUGAGAUGUUGGGUUAAGUCCCGCAACGAGCGCAACCCACGUUUUUAGUUGCCAGCAUUCAGUUGGGCACUCUAGAGAGACCGCCGGUGAUAAACCGGAGGAAGGUGUGGAUGACGUCAAGUCAUCAUGCCCCUUACAUCCUGGGCUACACACGUACUACAAUGCUACGGACAAAGGGCAGCAAACUCGCGAGAGCUAGCAAAUCCCAUAAACCGUGGCUCAGUUCAGAUCGUAGGCUGCAACUCGCCUACGUGAAGUAGGAAUCGCUAGUAAUCGCAGGUCAGCAUACUGCGGUGAAUACGUUCCCGGGCCUUGUACACACCGCCCGUCACACCAUGGAAGUUGGCCACGCCCGAAGUCGUUACUCCAACCCUUGUGGAGGAGGACGCCGAAGGUGGGGCUGAUGACUGGGGUGAAGUCGUAACAAGGUAGCCGUACCGGAAGGUGCGGCUG
RNAcentral lists this ribosomal RNA (1465 nucleotides) under Prochlorococcus sp. AG-363-P08. RNAcentral describes it as "bacterial SSU rRNA". It matches the Rfam family "Bacterial small subunit ribosomal RNA". Lineage: Bacteria; Bacillati; Cyanobacteriota; Cyanophyceae; Synechococcales; Prochlorococcaceae. The record is from RNAcentral.